Molecule: long non-coding RNA, 347 nt
Filed under: Lathyrus oleraceus (garden pea)
Lineage: Eukaryota; Viridiplantae; Streptophyta; Magnoliopsida; Fabales; Fabaceae
Description: Pisum sativum (pea) long non-coding RNA (PSAT_LNC020766)
Source: RNAcentral
GAGGUUUUAGGUUUUUGAUAAAAUAUAAUUUAACUUAAUGUAUUUUUAAUUGAUUUUUUUAUUUGUUUAAUUGAAAUAAUUUGUGUUGAGCCAUUUUUAUUGACUUGUGGAGUUUGACUAUUGUGUUUGGGCCUUGGUCAAGGUUGAUUUGACUUUUGUUGAAUUAAAAUCAUUGGAUUUAGGGGAUUGAUGAAAUGUACAUUUCAUCUUCCAAAAUGAAUGAAUGAUUUUAAUUUGAUGAAAUUCCUCCCAUGACCAAUUUGUGUUUGUCUCCUUUCCCCUCCCUCUUCAUCUUCAAUCCCUUUCUAUCUCACUCCUCUCAUUGGCCAAUGACAUCUCAAUAUCCU